Molecule: long non-coding RNA, 631 nt
Filed under: Ananas comosus (pineapple)
Lineage: Eukaryota; Viridiplantae; Streptophyta; Magnoliopsida; Poales; Bromeliaceae
Description: long non-coding RNA (ACOM_LNC014398)
Source: RNAcentral
UACUAAAUAUAGAAAUCUUUUAAUAUUAAUGACCAGAUCCAUAUAUAUAUAUAUAUAUAUAGAGUUUGACUGGGCUACUAUCGGUAGUAAACUGCUCGGUUUACUACCAAUUUGUUUUGGAUGAUAGAGCUUCCGAAUCGACGAUCGGCAUCGUUGAACAUGAUCUAGACCAUUUAAAUUAUCUAGAAAUCAAAUUUCAUGAUUUUUUGGCAUCACUAACUGAACGAUCAAAGGGUCACAAAAUCUAUAAUUUUAAUGGCCGAUAUGGUGCGUUUGCUUGUUUAACGGUAUAGAAGAGUUCAAAUCAACUAAAUUUUUGUUAAAAAAUUCUUUAAACUAUUUAAAAUAAGAUCUAGACUCUAGAUCUCAAAUAUAAAAAUUGUAUCAUCACUUUUCGAAGAAUAUUCAUUUCCAGCCAUUUAUUUUUCUAUUCACUUGAUGGACAAGAGAACAAUAUCAAAAAUGUGUGAAAUUUGAUUUCCAGAUAGUUUAAAUAGUUUAGAUCAUAUUUAACAGUGCCGAUCAUUAAUUUGGAAGCUCUAUCACGAAAAUAAAUCGAUAGUAAACCGAGCAGUUUACUACCGAUAGAAUUCUAGCAAAACUCUCUCUCUCUCUCUCUCUCUCUCUCUCU